ACAUUGGUGGUUCAGUGGUAGAAUUCUCACCUUCCAUGUAGGAGGCUCAGGUUCAAUUCUGGCCAGUGCA
RNAcentral lists this transfer RNA (70 nucleotides) under Loxodonta africana (African savanna elephant). It matches the Rfam family "tRNA". From Rfam's summary of the family: Transfer RNA (tRNA) molecules are approximately 80 nucleotides in length. Their secondary structure includes four short double-helical elements and three loops (D, anti-codon, and T loops). Lineage: Eukaryota; Metazoa; Chordata; Mammalia; Proboscidea; Elephantidae. The record is from Rfam by way of RNAcentral.